CAAAGCAAGAAGAACAACCCACCAGCCCAUGGGCAGAAAUCCUGCCACCUCGGGGCUGGUUUACAAGGCCUGGUGUGCUCAUUCAUUCACCUGCCUGGCCCUGCAGGGCAGUGGUUUUGCUCUCCACUUUAGACUGGCUCUCCCAUUUUAUGGGCCAAGAGGGGUGGGAUGUUCCCAGCGCCACUCAGCCAUGCUGUCUGCCCCAUGUGGCCCUUCCUUUCCCUGGCAUCACUCCUCUGCCCCCACCUGCCCCUCCAUAUGCCAACCAUCAGCCCUGACCCUGUUUCAGGCCAGGGCUGUUCUCUCCAACCCACGACCGUCCUGGAUUCCUCUCACUCAGAGAAGCUGAGGUCAGGUGGGUGGGGCAAGGUGAGCCCCUGGCACCAGCUCUUCCCUGCAGGGUGUGCAGGACCUUUGUGGAAGCCACAGAUUUGGCUGUUUUAAGAACAAAGAGCUGGCUUUUUAAUUAUGCAGCCCAGACAGGCUCCCCGCAGGUGGGUGGAGAGGGAGCUCCCCAGGGCUGCCUAGCAGACGCCCUGAUUUCCACUCCUUGAAGUGGCCACUUGGAGAAGGAACCAGCAAGCAAUCAAGCAUGAAGGACAGAAAAACUCUCCAGGUGAGGACAAUCACUCUGCCCAGUGGGGAUGCAGGGUGUGGGGGGCUCUGCGGACAGCAGGGUGUGCCCAGGGCCUCCAGCUUGCAGUGCAGAAGCUGGGCUCCCAUGCUGGGCUCGGGUGGGGGAGGCAGGUGGAGAGGAACCCAGACAGGGCUUUGCAGCCAGGUUGGUUCUCAGAGUUGGAGUCUGGACUUCCUUGCUAACUUGCUCUCUGACCACAGGUGAGUCAUUUAAUCUCACUAAGCUUCAGUUUCAUCAACUGCAAAAUGGAGAUGACAAUUCCUCUUUCCUGUAAGGAGUGAAGGGAAUGAUGGCUGUCACGUACCGGGCACAGAGUGGGAAUCCCAAACAAGAAUGGGAGCUAACCUUGAUGAGGCACGCCCUACUCGAUGCAUGCCUGGCUCUGUGUUAAAUUCCUUGCAGUCACACAGCCAUUUAUUCUUCAAAUUGUAAUGCCGUGUGGCAGCUGGUGUUUUGCUGAAAUGAAAUCACAGCUUGCAAUGGGCAUUUGGCUCCCAUUCUUCUGAGCGUGGUGCUCCCACGCUGCUGGCUUCGUGUGGUGACUCACGGCCCACUCACGUCUCUAUGUUUGAAUGAGCAACCGGGAAAUCCUCCUCCAUAUGGAAACCACGUGCCCCUGUCUAGUUCCAUGGAUUUCAUGGGGCAGGAGGAAGUUGGGAUGUAGGGGAAGUUCUGGCAGACAGGACGAGGAGGCAGACAGAUCACCUCUUCAGGACCGCAGGGGAUUGUCAGCAAGAGAAAAAGGGAGACAAAUUCAGGGGGGCGCUGGGAGGCCAGGUGGGCGUGUCUUCACCUUCCCUCUUACGGGUGAGGAUGUUGUAGAGAUGCCCAGUUGAAAAGGCCCCUGGGAGCCCUGGAAGAUGGUGGCGCAUAAACCUCGAAGAGAGGCAUCCACAGCCCUCCCUGAACCAGGUGAGUGUGCAGAGUUCAAAAGUCUCCAUGGGCGUUCAGGAACACGUACAGAGGCUGCAGUCAGGAGGAGGAGGCUGCUUCGAGCCUGGACAUUUGCAACUGGAGUGAUGGGGGCAGGGGUCACCCUUCGCCUAGAAAAGCCCAGGCACAGCCCCACAGUCACCUGUCCAGGAAGCAGCCCAGGCCAGCCCCUCUGCAGCAGAGACCUGUGAGAACCCAGAAGAUGCCGUGUGGCCUGAGCCCAGCUCCCCUGCACCAGGCUACAGAUAUCUGCUCAGGGGUGCCUGCGGGUGCUUCUUACAGGGAGCAGCCCAGGAAGAUGCCUCAAUGACUAAGGGUCUAUCUACAAGACCCAGAGUCACCCAAAAGACUCUGGUCAAACCAGAAGAGGCUGCAAUGCCAUCAAUCCACAAAUUCAGGGUUUUUAUUCCUCUCCCCCCUCACACCCAGUGAGGCAGGGACUCUGGACAGUUAUAUGAAAUAAAAUGCUAUUUUUUCCUUUAU
This 2053-nucleotide long non-coding RNA is filed under the name Homo sapiens (human). RNAcentral's name for it is "HSALNT0214929". The record is from RNAcentral. Lineage: Eukaryota; Metazoa; Chordata; Mammalia; Primates; Hominidae.